This 393-nucleotide ribosomal RNA is filed under the name uncultured bacterium. Its description in RNAcentral is "partial 16S ribosomal RNA". It matches the Rfam family "Bacterial small subunit ribosomal RNA", at positions 523 to 918 of the family's 1533-position model. The record is from RNAcentral.
AUACGGAGGAUCCGAGCGUUAUCCGGAUUUAUUGGGUUUAAAGGGAGCGUAGGCGGACGCUUAAGUCAGUUGUGAAAGUUUGCGGCUCAACCGUAAAAUUGCAGUUGAUACUGGGUGUCUUGAGUACAGUAGAGGUGGGCGGAAUUCGUGGUGUAGCGGUGAAAUGCUUAGAUAUCACGAAGAACUCCGAUUGCGAAGGCAGCUCACUGGGCUGGUACUGACACUGAGGCUCGAAAGUGUGGGUAUCAAACAGGAUUAGAUACCCUGGUAGUCCCCACAGUAAACGAUGAAUACUCGCUGUUUGCGAUAUACAGCAAGCGGCCAAGCGAAAGCAUUAAGUAUUCCACCUGGGGAGUACGCCGGCAACGGUGAAACUUAAAGGAAUUGACGGGG